GUUUUAAUAAUUUAAUAUUUUAAAAUAUUGAUUUUGUAAAUCAAAAAUAAGUUAAUCUUUUAAAACU
This 67-nucleotide transfer RNA is filed under the name Kisaura zhejiangensis (nom. nud.). RNAcentral's name for it is "tRNA-Thr". The record is from RNAcentral. Lineage: Eukaryota; Metazoa; Arthropoda; Insecta; Trichoptera; Philopotamidae.